UACGUAGGGGGCUAGCGUUGUCCGGAAUCAUUGGGCGUAAAGAGCGUGUAGGCGGUCCGGUAAGUCCGCUGUGAAAGUCGGGGGCUCAACCCUCGAAUGCCGGUGGAUACUGUCGGGCUAGAGUACGGAAGAGGCGAGUGGAAUUCCUGGUGUAGCGGUGAAAUGCGCAGAUAUCAGGAGGAACACCUAUUGCGAAGGCAGCUCGCUGGGACGUCACUGACGCUGAGACGCGAAAGCGUGGGGAGCAAACAGG
This 253-nucleotide ribosomal RNA is filed under the name uncultured bacterium. RNAcentral's name for it is "partial 16S ribosomal RNA". It matches the Rfam family "Bacterial small subunit ribosomal RNA", at positions 524 to 776 of the family's 1533-position model. The record is from RNAcentral.